CCUACGGGGGGCAGCAGUGAGGAAUAUUGGUCAAUGGGCGCGAGCCUGAACCAGCCAAGUAGCGUGAAGGAUGACUGCCCUACGGGUUGUAAACUUCUUUUAUAAAGGAAUAAAGUGGCACACGUGUGCGUUUUUGUAUGUACUUUAUGAAUACGGAUCGGCUAAAUCCAUGUCAGCAGCCGCGGUAAUACGGAAGAUCCGAGGGUUGUCCCGAUUUAUUGGGUUUAAAGGGAGGGGAGAGGGGUGUGUAAGUCAGUUGUUAAAGUUUGGGGCCCCAACGUAAGAUUGCAAUUGAUACUGGCAGACUUGAGUAAAGUAGAGGUAGGCGGAAUUCGUGGUGUAGCGGUGAAAUGCUUAGAUAUCACGAAGAACUCCGAUGGCGAAGGCAGCUUACUGGAUCGACACUGACGCUGAGGCUCGAAAGUGUGGGUAUCAAACAGGAUUAGAUACCCCAGUAGUC
RNAcentral lists this ribosomal RNA (460 nucleotides) under uncultured bacterium. RNAcentral describes it as "partial 16S ribosomal RNA". It matches the Rfam family "Bacterial small subunit ribosomal RNA", at positions 338 to 795 of the family's 1533-position model. The record is from RNAcentral.